RNAcentral lists this transfer RNA (70 nucleotides) under Cynoglossus quadrilineatus (fourlined tonguesole). RNAcentral describes it as "tRNA-His". It matches the Rfam family "tRNA". From Rfam's summary of the family: Transfer RNA (tRNA) molecules are approximately 80 nucleotides in length. Their secondary structure includes four short double-helical elements and three loops (D, anti-codon, and T loops). Further hydrogen bonds mediate the characteristic L-shaped molecular structure. tRNAs have two regions of fundamental functional importance: the anti-codon, which is responsible for specific mRNA codon recognition, and the 3' end, to which the tRNAs corresponding amino acid is attached (by aminoacyl-tRNA synthetases). tRNAs cope with the degeneracy of the genetic code in two manners: having more than one tRNA (with a specific anti-codon) for a particular amino acid; and 'wobble' base-pairing, i.e. permitting non-standard base-pairing at the 3rd anti-codon position. Lineage: Eukaryota; Metazoa; Chordata; Actinopteri; Pleuronectiformes; Cynoglossidae. The record is from RNAcentral.
GUAGAAAUAGUUUAAUUCAAAACCCCAGAUUGUGAUUCUGUUAACAAAGGUUAAAAUCCUUUUUUCCACC